GUCACGCGCACCUGCGUGUCGUCAGACUCACCUGGACUCCAUCACUUCCCUGAUUACCUUCCUAUAUAUGUCAAUCCCUUUGGUUCUUUCACCAAGCGACAUUGUUUCAGUUUCAUGUCUGUGUGCUGUUAGUGUUUCUUGUUUCGUAUUAUGCUCUGUUUAUUUAAUUAAAACACUCACUCACUCACUCCCUGAACUUGCUUCCUGACUCUCAGCGCACAUUGUUACAGAAUGACGCCUCACCUAAGGGAAGCAUCAGGGAGUGUUUAAAAAAAGAAUACUUUUUAUUAUUAUUAUUUAUUUAUUUUUUGGUGGUAAUGACGUUGAGUCCGGGAGCCGCUACAGGCUAUCAUGCCUCAGACAGAUUGCCAGGCUUCCCGGCCUCCGCCGGUUCGUCAGGCUCUCAUGCCUCAGCCGGAUUGCCAGGCUCUCCUGCUACAGCCAGCUCGUCAGGCUUUCAUGCCUUCUCCGGAUUGCCAGGCUCCCCUGCUUCCACCGGCUGGUCAGGCUCUCAUGCCCGUCAGCCGGUCUGUCAGGUUCCCGCGUCUCAGCCAGGGACAGGUUCCCGCGCAUCAGCAGGGGUGACCGGUCCACUCCUGAUCCCUGGGAUCGUCCCUUUGGUUGGCGUCCUGCGGUUGGAGCCGAACGCGCCUGGGAGGAGGUACCAUCAUGUAUGCUCUCUCCGGCGCUCUAGGUCGCCAUGCUCCCGCAUCUCAGCCGGACUGACAGGUUUCCUGCACCUCAGCAGAGGUCACCAGGCUGCUCAUUAUGGCGCACACCUGUCACCAUCGUUACGCGCUCCUGCGCAUCAUCAGACUCACCUGGACACCAUCACUUCCCUGAUUACCUUCCCUAUAUGUCACUCCCUUUGGUUCCUUCCCCAGGCGUCAUUGUUUCAGUUUCAUGUCUGUGUGCUGUUCGUGUUUCUUGUUUUGUAUUAUGUUCUGUUUAUUUAAUUAAAACACUCACUCCCUGAACUUGCUUCCUGACUCUCAGCGCCCACCGUUACAUUCUUGCAAGACUUGUCUGCUAAAUCAUCAGGCACCCAACA
This 1051-nucleotide long non-coding RNA is filed under the name Salmo salar (Atlantic salmon). RNAcentral's name for it is "lncRNA (ENSSSAG00000111236.1)". Lineage: Eukaryota; Metazoa; Chordata; Actinopteri; Salmoniformes; Salmonidae. The record is from RNAcentral.